This 1098-nucleotide ribosomal RNA is filed under the name uncultured dinoflagellate. RNAcentral's name for it is "SSU rRNA". It matches the Rfam family "Eukaryotic small subunit ribosomal RNA", at positions 40 to 1142 of the family's 1831-position model. RNAcentral also lists the same sequence under 1 other name. The record is from RNAcentral. Lineage: Eukaryota; Dinophyceae.
AAGAUUAAGCCAUGCAUGUCUCAGUAUAAACAUUAAUUUGGUGAAUCUGCAAAUGGCUCAUUAAAACAGUUAUAAUGCACUUGAUGGUUGAUUGGUUACAUGGAUAACUGUGGUAAUCCUAUAGCUAAUACAUGCGAUCAAACCUGACUCUUGCAGGAAGGUUGUAGUCAUUAUUUACAGAACCAACCCAGGCUCUGCUUGGAAUUUUGCUGAUUCAUAGUGACUGAAUAAAUUACAUUGCAAUUUGCUGGUAAUGCAUCAUUCCAGUUUCUGACCUAUCACCUUCCGACGGUAAGGUAUUGGCUUACCGUGGCAAUGACGGGUAACGGAGGAUUAAGGUUUGAUUCCGGAGAGGGAGCUUGAGAAAUGGCUACCACAUCUAAGGAAGGCAGCAGGCGCGCAAAUUACCCAAUCCUGACACAGGGAGGUAGUGACAAGAAAUAGCAAUACAAGGCAUCCAUGUCUUGUACUUGGAAUGGAUAGAUCUUAAACCUUUCUAUGAGUAUCAAUUGGAGGGCAAGUCUGGUGCCAGCAGCCGCGGUAAUUCCAGCUCCAAUAGCGUAUAUUAAAAUUGUUGCGGUUAAAAAGCUCGUAGUUGGAUUUCUGCUGAGGGUGGCUGGUCUGCCCUCUGGGUGAGUAUUUGGCACAUCCUGGGCAUGUUCUUGAAAUCAUAACUGCACUUGACUGUGUGGUGUGGAAUUGAGGAAUCUUUACUUUGAGGAAAUCAGAGUGUUUCAAGCAGGCAUGUGCCUUGAAUACAUUAGCAUGGAAUAAUAUUGUAGGACCUUUGUUCUUUUUUGUUGGUUUAAAAACUGAGGUAAUGAUAAAUAGGGAUAGUUGGGGGCAUUCGUAUUUAAUUGUCAGAGGUGAAAUUCUUGGGUUUAUUAAAGACGCACUAUUGCGAAAGCAUUUGCCAAGGAUUUUUUCAUUGAUCAAGAACGAAAGUUAGGGGAUGGAAGACGAUCAGAUACCGUCCUAGUUUUAACCAUAAACCAUGCCAACUAGAGAUUGAAGGUCGUUAUUUGCAUGACUCCUUCAGUACCUUAUGAGAAAUCAAAGUCUUUGGGCUCCGGGGGGAGUAUGGUCGCAAGGCUGAAA